AGGACGAACGCUGGCGGCGUGCUUAACACAUGCAAGUGGAGCGACGAACCAGGGCUUGCCCUGGGGCAGAGCCGCGAACGGGUGAGUAACACGUGGGUUACCUGCCUCGAUGACCGGGACAACCCGAGGAAACUCGGGCUAAUACCGGAUGUGCCCGCAAGGGGAAAGGAAGCUUCGGCCUCCGCAUCGAGAUGGGCCCGCGGCCCAUUAGCUUGUUGGUGAGGUAACGGCUCACCAAGGCUUCGAUGGGUAGCUGGUCUGAGAGGACGAUCAGCCACACUGGGACUGAGACACGGCCCAGACUCCUACGGGAGGCAGCAGUGGGGAAUCUUGCGCAAUGCGCGAAAGCGUGACGCAGCAACGCCGCGUGGGGGAAGAAGGCUUUCGGGUCGUAAACCCCUUUCAGUUGGGACGAAGCUUCGGCGGUGAAUAGCCGUUCGGAGUGACGGUACCUUCACAAGAAGCACCGGCUAACUACGUGCCAGCAGCCGCGGU
This 495-nucleotide ribosomal RNA is filed under the name uncultured bacterium. RNAcentral describes it as "SSU rRNA". It matches the Rfam family "Bacterial small subunit ribosomal RNA", at positions 26 to 521 of the family's 1533-position model. The record is from RNAcentral.